Asterias rubens (European starfish) is the source of this 1280-nucleotide long non-coding RNA. RefSeq lists it as uncharacterized. NCBI's taxonomy places the organism in Eukaryota, Metazoa, Echinodermata, Asteroidea, Forcipulatida, Asteriidae. The transcript has 3 exons. The record is from RefSeq and is a predicted model, not a curated record.
GUGACUUUGGUGUGAGGAAAACCACCCGCCCGAGGUUCAAGUCUAAUAGGGGCAAAAGGAUACUUGAACACUGCCCAUAUCUGUCAGUUACAAGGAUCUGCAGAAAAGCAUCAAUGUGAGAAGCGUAACAUGUGCUAGCCAGUUCCGCAUCAAAGCGAAAGACCUGCUAGUUCAUUUCAGAACAAUAUAAGAUGUCACCAGUAGGCCUGGGCAACAAGUGAAGUUUACUACUCGUCUAGUGUCAAAAACAUUGUAGUCACGACUUUGACACUAGUUGUGACUAUUUUAAACUCCUAAGAUACAUUGCGGCAAGUUGUUUGCCGCAGGCCCAAUCAAGUAAAAUUUGUGCUAAAAGGAUUGAAGUUGUAGGGAAUAGGCAAGAGCGACACAAUGGGAGACUUUCCAACGCUAGGUGGCAGCAGACUUACCGGGUAAACUUCCAUUGUUUACGUAGUUAUGAGCUUGCACAUAAUUCUGCGAACAUGGCUUUACCCGGUAAGUCUGCUGCCACCUAUCGUCCUAGAAAGUUUCCUAGUCAUGACUGUUUUUUAGUAGUCAUGGUAGCACGUCGAGUAAUGUGAGUAGUUGAAAAAUGGUAUUUGUAACUCGACAAGGCAAUCAAUAGUCUCCACUUCGACACUUGUCUGUCACACUAGUCGCUCAGGCUUAGUCAUCAGUAGAGGAAAUAUCACUGGUGAUUAAGCAGAAGAAACUUCACCAGUGUCGAUAAAGAUAUACAUUUGUAAAGCUCAAUUCUAACUCUGUAAAGUAACAUAAAGCAAACUGACCUGUCCUUAUUUGCAAUUUUUUGCUAGCAACUAUUCUACAGCUGAAAAAUACAAUUAGAAAAAAAUUGACAAUUCCGAAAUACUAACCUAACAGUUGACGAAAUAAUCAUGUUUCUUGACUUUAAAGUGGAGAUCAUCAUAAUUGCAAUGAACUUAAAAGUUGUUAAGUAACCUAACAUUUUCCCAGCCUAAUGGGAGAACACAAACAAUUAUUUAUUAGCACCGUCUUUGUAAUCUUAAAAAAAGUUAUUUAAACAAUCAAUUGCUGUAAAUUGAUACUUCUUUUGUUUAAAAAUAAAGUUUUCAUUGUAGUGCAGUAUAGCUUGUAUGCAGUUUUUACUUGAUAGUCAGAGUAAUGUUAUUUUUAUUCUAAAAGAAUACUAUAGUUUUCAAAUAACAGAACAUACCUUUCGAAAUUUCCCUGCUUUCCAGUUUCAAUGCAAGGCAUGUUGUUGACAUAUAUUACAACAAAAUAAAGCUAUGUUUUCAGAA